ACCUGGGUGGCUCAGUUGGUUAAGCAUCUGACUUCAGCUCAGGUCAUGAUCUCACGGUUUGUGGGUUCGAGCCCCGCGUCAGGCU
This 85-nucleotide transfer RNA is filed under the name Felis catus (domestic cat). It matches the Rfam family "tRNA". From Rfam's summary of the family: Transfer RNA (tRNA) molecules are approximately 80 nucleotides in length. The record is from Rfam by way of RNAcentral. Lineage: Eukaryota; Metazoa; Chordata; Mammalia; Carnivora; Felidae.